GAUGAAGAACGUAGUGAAAUGCGAUAAGUAAUGUGAAUUGCAGAAUUCAGUGAAUCAUCGAGUCUUUGAACGCACAUUGCGCCCCCUGGUAUUCCGGGGGGCAUGCCUGUCCGAGCGUCAUUGCUGCCCUCAAGCACGGCUUGUGUGUUGGGCCGUCGUCCCCCUCCUAGGGGACGGGCCCGAAAGGCAGCGGCGGCACCGCGUCCGGUCCUCGAGCGUAUGAGGCUUCGUCACCCGCUCCGUAGGCCCGGCCGGCGCUUGCCGACGACCAUCAAUCUCUUUCUCCAGGUUGACCUCGGAUCAGGUAGGGAUACCCGCUGAACUUAAGCAUAUCAAUAAGCGGAGGA
Molecule: unclassified non-coding RNA, 347 nt
Filed under: soil metagenome
Description: partial contains 5.8S ribosomal RNA, internal transcribed spacer 2, and large subunit ribosomal RNA
Rfam family: 5.8S ribosomal RNA (bases 1-120)
Source: RNAcentral